RNAcentral lists this transfer RNA (71 nucleotides) under Marmota monax (woodchuck). It matches the Rfam family "tRNA". From Rfam's summary of the family: Transfer RNA (tRNA) molecules are approximately 80 nucleotides in length. Their secondary structure includes four short double-helical elements and three loops (D, anti-codon, and T loops). Further hydrogen bonds mediate the characteristic L-shaped molecular structure. tRNAs have two regions of fundamental functional importance: the anti-codon, which is responsible for specific mRNA codon recognition, and the 3' end, to which the tRNAs corresponding amino acid is attached (by aminoacyl-tRNA synthetases). tRNAs cope with the degeneracy of the genetic code in two manners: having more than one tRNA (with a specific anti-codon) for a particular amino acid; and 'wobble' base-pairing, i.e. permitting non-standard base-pairing at the 3rd anti-codon position. Lineage: Eukaryota; Metazoa; Chordata; Mammalia; Rodentia; Sciuridae. The record is from Rfam by way of RNAcentral.
GUCGGUAUAGCUCAGUGGUAGAGCACUUGCCUAGCAUGCAUAAGGCCUUGGGUUCUAUCCCCAGUACCGCA